CAGAAAGGGAUGUCACUUCUUCAGUCAUGAUGGAUGUAUAGAGAGGGCGCAAGGCGGUCUAGAUACUAAGAGCAGGCACAGGUGUCGUCCAGUGUGGAAUCUCUGGCGGAGGGAGCUACUGACUAAACCCACUGAGGUACAGUUCAACAUGCGCCUGGUAGAAGCCUUACCUUUGGUUCAGAUUCAGGAACUCUACAUGAACGCCUAUUCAGGCAUUUAUUUUAUGAUAAUUGAAUAAAUAUAUUGGUCUGGGAUUUUUUAAUAUUUUGAUAUGAAAAAUUAUGAUAAUGAUAAUAGUAAUAGAUAGAAAAGGAGUAUAAAGAUAUAAAUGUAAUAACCGUUUCAGCAGUUUCAAAUUCAAUCUACAUAAUUUAAUCUGUAAAUAUUGCCCUUGGUAUUGCUUUGACGAUUUGCUGUGGUACGUGAAAAUAUUUGAAAGUGAAAUGGUUUAAAAGCUUUGCACACGUACAUUGUAUUGAAAAACGAUAAUAUUUGAGUACUUAAAAAUCUUAAGUCUGCUGCAAGGCUGUAGGUGAACCAAAAGAUUUUCUAUAAACACACAUUUAUAAAGUGUAAUUACAAACCAGCUUUUUGAAGUUUAAUUUUGUUUCUAAAUUUUGUUCCAUGUCAUGAUAUUUUCAAUGUACUUUAAAAGAAAUUUAUUCACCCGCGGGAUUAUCAUUUCCUCACAUUUCAUAAUGUAAUUCAUAGCUUUUUAUAGGCCUUUUUUUUUGCUACCACCAAUUUGACUAUCUAAAUACUUGUAUAUAAAAUGCAAUUACA
This is a long non-coding RNA of Lingula anatina, 783 nucleotides long. NCBI's taxonomy places the organism in Eukaryota, Metazoa, Brachiopoda, Lingulata, Lingulida, Lingulidae. The record is from RefSeq and is a predicted model, not a curated record.